Camellia sinensis is the source of this 330-nucleotide non-coding RNA. NCBI's taxonomy places the organism in Eukaryota, Viridiplantae, Streptophyta, Magnoliopsida, Ericales, Theaceae. The record is from RefSeq and is a predicted model, not a curated record.
UUUCCCUUUUAAGACCCACGCGUUUUUCAUUCUUCUAUUCUAUUUCACGCAGCAAUUGAUAGAUCUAGGUUUUCUAUCUCUUCAUCACUCCUCUUUCUUAUGGUGAAAGGUCACUAGAUCGAGCUUCGUAGGCUCCGAUUCACGAUCUGGUUCUCUCCAUCUUGGCUCAAAGCUCUGAAUCAGUCCGAUUUGAAGAUUAAUUUUAGUCACAUAACCACCAUCACAACCAUACUGUGUCAAUCUUUGCAGCAGCAAUGUCUCUCUUCCUCACAAUGGGUUUUGUGCACUGCAGAUACCUGAUUUCCACUCUGUUCUGAUGAAGGUCUACCU